RNAcentral lists this ribosomal RNA (443 nucleotides) under uncultured bacterium. RNAcentral describes it as "partial 16S ribosomal RNA". It matches the Rfam family "Bacterial small subunit ribosomal RNA", at positions 338 to 795 of the family's 1533-position model. The record is from RNAcentral.
CCUACGGGAGGCAGCAGUGGGGAAUAUUGGGCAAUGGGCGCAAGCCUGACCCAGCAACGCCGCGUGAAGGAAGAAGGCUUUCGGGUUGUAAACUUCUUUUCUGAGGGACGAGGAAAGUGACGUUACCUGAGGAAUAGCCAAGGGCUAACUACGUGCCAGCAGCCGCGGAAAUACGUAGGUGGCAAGCGUUAUCCGGAUUUAUUGGGGGUAAAGGGCGUGUAGGCGGGAGGGCAAGUCAGAUGUGAAACCUCAGGGCUCAACCCGGAACCUGCAUUUGAAACGGUGUUUCUUGAGUACUGGAGAGGCAAUCGGAAUUCCGAGUGUAGCGGUGAAAUGCGUAGAUAUACGGAGGAACACCAGUGGCGAAGGCGGAUUACUGGACAGUAACUGACGCUGAGGCGCGAAAGCGUGGGGAGCAAACAGGAUUAGAUACCCUUGUAGUC